Molecule: ribosomal RNA, 224 nt
Filed under: Klebsiella pneumoniae
Lineage: Bacteria; Pseudomonadati; Pseudomonadota; Gammaproteobacteria; Enterobacterales; Enterobacteriaceae
Also listed under: 1 other name
Description: partial 23S ribosomal RNA
Rfam family: Bacterial large subunit ribosomal RNA
Source: RNAcentral
GGUUGUCAUGCCAAUGGCACUGCCCGGUAGCUAAAUGCGGAAGAGAUAAGUGCUGAAAGCAUCUAAGCACGAAACUUGCCCCGAGAUGAGUUCUCCCUGAGACUUUAAGUCUCCUGAAGGAACGUUGAAGACGACGACGUUGAUAGGCCGGGUGUGUAAGCGCAGCGAUGCGUUGAGCUAACCGGUACUAAUGAACCGUGAGGCUUAACCUUACAACGCCGAAG